This 1064-nucleotide long non-coding RNA is filed under the name Amborella trichopoda. Its description in RNAcentral is "long non-coding RNA (ATRI_LNC003114)". The record is from RNAcentral. Lineage: Eukaryota; Viridiplantae; Streptophyta; Magnoliopsida; Amborellales; Amborellaceae.
GAUUUUUAAAGUGGACUUCACUUCGACAGUUUAAGGUUAAAACCUUACAUAAAACUUUUCCUUCAUGAACUAUUGCAAAUGGACUUUAUUACCCAAAACAUAUGGAAUGGGGGCUAGGGGUAAGACAUGGCAACCCAAGGCGAAGGGAAGCAGGGACAGGCAAGGAUGCAGGAAUAGAUCGUUGUGAAUAAACCAGUGCUUUGGCCGGGUCAACUUCACUCGGUCCUUCUGACUUCGCCUUCGCCUUUUCUUGCAUAAAGUUCCUGGGAUGGGAAGCCUAUUGCAUCCACACGUAGAGUCAUCAGUACCUUCCAGAAACUUAGUAGUUUGAUGAAGCUCUCCCCCUCUGCUUCCUCGUCCGUUUGGCGUGCCUUAGGUGGCGUUCCUUUCACAUACGAUGAUCUCCCUGUCGCGGUGUUCCCUCCCCCUCCCCUAUAUCUUUGUCCUUUUACCCCGGUCGUUGUAUUCCCUCGCCUCCCCUGGAUCUGUCUUUUUCACAUCCGUUCACACGUGCACUUCUUUCUUACCUCCCCCUCCCCUAUAUCUUUGUCCUUUUACCCCGGUCGUUGUAUUCCCUCGCCUCCCCUGGAUCUGUCUUUUUCACAUCCGUUCACACGUGCACUUCUCUCUUAUACGUGCACUUCUCUCUUAUACGAUGACAUGUAGUCUAUCUCGUUCUUCAUAAUAUUUUUUUAUAUUUUAGUUUUACUUUAUUUAUUAAUUAGGCGAUGGUCCUAUAAAACAAGGGUUCUUUCUAUGCCUUUGAAUUGGGAUAAAAGGCCCAAAUAAGCCAUUGAUGAAAAACUGAUACCACCAAUGGUUUAAAAAAUGGAUCCCCAUCCGGAUCAUUGAAUCGACGAUUCGGAUCGAGAAUCAUUCGAAUAGAUCGAAUUAAGCUUUACAAAAAAAUCUAAAAAAAUUAUUAAAAUUCAUUAUAAAUGUUGUUUUUUAAGAACUAAUAAAAAAUAAGGAUAUUACAUUAUUAACUUUCUUUUUUUUUCAUCAAUUUGUGAAUAUUGAAAUGUUCUUUUCUUGUAUAAACUUAUGUUAACCAUGAAAUUUAC